This 62-nucleotide transfer RNA is filed under the name Magallana gigas (Pacific oyster). Its description in RNAcentral is "Crassostrea gigas (Pacific oyster) tRNA". It matches the Rfam family "tRNA", at positions 7 to 64 of the family's 71-position model. From Rfam's summary of the family: Transfer RNA (tRNA) molecules are approximately 80 nucleotides in length. Their secondary structure includes four short double-helical elements and three loops (D, anti-codon, and T loops). Further hydrogen bonds mediate the characteristic L-shaped molecular structure. tRNAs have two regions of fundamental functional importance: the anti-codon, which is responsible for specific mRNA codon recognition, and the 3' end, to which the tRNAs corresponding amino acid is attached (by aminoacyl-tRNA synthetases). tRNAs cope with the degeneracy of the genetic code in two manners: having more than one tRNA (with a specific anti-codon) for a particular amino acid; and 'wobble' base-pairing, i.e. permitting non-standard base-pairing at the 3rd anti-codon position. Lineage: Eukaryota; Metazoa; Mollusca; Bivalvia; Ostreida; Ostreidae. The record is from Rfam by way of RNAcentral.
AUAGCUCAGUUGGUAGAGUAUCUGACUAUAGAGUCUCAGGAAGCCUGGGUUCAAAUCCCAGU